RNAcentral lists this unclassified non-coding RNA (137 nucleotides) under soil metagenome. RNAcentral describes it as "partial internal transcribed spacer 1". The record is from RNAcentral.
CCUAGAGUUGUAGCCUUUGCCUGCUAUCUCUUACCAUGUCUUUUGAGUACCUUCGUUUCCUCGGCGGGUCCGCCCGCCGAUUGGACAAUUUUAACCAUUUGCAGUUGCAAUCAGCGUCUGAAAAAACUUAAUAGUUA